UACGUAGGGUCCGAGCGUUGUCCGGAAUUACUGGGCGUAAAGAGCUCGUAGGUGGUUUGUCGCGUUGUUCGUGAAACUCACAGCUUAACUGUGGGCGUGCGGGCGAUACGGGCAGACUUGAGUACUGCAGGGGAGACUGGAAUUCCUGGUGUAGCGGUGGAAUGCGCAGAUAUCAGGAGGAACACCGGUGGCGAAGGCGGUUCUCUGGGCCGUAACUGACGCUGAGGAGCGAAAGCAUGGGGAGCGAACAGG
RNAcentral lists this ribosomal RNA (252 nucleotides) under uncultured bacterium. RNAcentral's name for it is "partial 16S ribosomal RNA". It matches the Rfam family "Bacterial small subunit ribosomal RNA", at positions 524 to 776 of the family's 1533-position model. The record is from RNAcentral.